UACGUAGGGUGCAAGCGUUAAUCGGAAUUACUGGGCGUAAAGCGUGCGCAGGCGGUUUUGUAAGUCUGAUGUGAAAUCCCCGGGCUUAACCUGGGAAUUGCGAUGAAGACUGCAAGGCUAGAAUCUGGCAGAGGGGGGUAGAAUUCCACGUGUAGCAGUGAAAUGCGUAGAGAUGUGGAGGAACACCGAUGGCGAAGGCAGCCCCCUGGGUCAAGAUUGACGCUCAUGCACGAAAGCGUGGGGAGCAAACAGG
This 253-nucleotide ribosomal RNA is filed under the name uncultured bacterium. RNAcentral's name for it is "partial 16S ribosomal RNA". It matches the Rfam family "Bacterial small subunit ribosomal RNA", at positions 524 to 776 of the family's 1533-position model. The record is from RNAcentral.